RNAcentral lists this ribosomal RNA (328 nucleotides) under uncultured Clostridiaceae bacterium. RNAcentral describes it as "bacterial SSU rRNA". It matches the Rfam family "Bacterial small subunit ribosomal RNA", at positions 28 to 339 of the family's 1533-position model. The record is from RNAcentral. Lineage: Bacteria; Bacillati; Bacillota; Clostridia; Eubacteriales; Clostridiaceae.
GAUGAACGCUGGCGGCGUGCCUAAUACAUGCAAGUCGAGCGAGAAGCUUUAGAGUGACGCUUCGGUUGAACGAUAAAGUGGAAAGCGGCGGACGGGUGAGUAACGCGUAGGCAACCUGCCCUUAGCAGAGGGAUAGCCAUUGGAAACGAUGAUUAAAACCUCAUAACAUCGUAGCUACACAUGUAGCAUCGGUCAAAGAUUUAUCGGCUAAGGAUGGGCCUGCGUCUGAUUAACUAGUUGGUGAGGUAACGGCUCACCAAGGUGACGAUCAGUAGCCGACCUGAGAGGGUGAUCGGCCACAUUGGAACUGAGACACGGUUCAAACUUC